GAAGAGAUUCGUACCCGGUGGUACGUCCGGUCUUCAAAACCGGGUGGGGCCGUCAGCCGGUCCCGGGUGGGUUCGACCCCCACUCUCUUCC
Molecule: transfer RNA, 91 nt
Filed under: marine eukaryotic metagenome
Description: Selenocysteine transfer RNA
Rfam family: Selenocysteine transfer RNA
Source: RNAcentral